AAUAAAGUGCCUGAUUAAAGGAUUAUUCUGAUAGGAUAAAUUAAGUAAUAUAAAUUACCUUUAUUA
This 66-nucleotide transfer RNA is filed under the name Anomis mesogona. RNAcentral describes it as "tRNA-Ile". Lineage: Eukaryota; Metazoa; Arthropoda; Insecta; Lepidoptera; Erebidae. The record is from RNAcentral. RNAcentral also lists the same sequence under 3 other names.